GGCCUGCUAGCUCAGUUGGUUAGAGCGUGGUGCUAAUAACGCCAAGGUCCUCGGUUCGACCCCGUGGUGGGCCA
Molecule: transfer RNA, 74 nt
Filed under: Jaapia argillacea MUCL 33604
Lineage: Eukaryota; Fungi; Basidiomycota; Agaricomycetes; Jaapiales; Jaapiaceae
Description: tRNA-Ile (AAT) (tRNA-Ile-AAT-2-1)
Source: RNAcentral